RNAcentral lists this ribosomal RNA (305 nucleotides) under uncultured bacterium. Its description in RNAcentral is "bacterial SSU rRNA". It matches the Rfam family "Bacterial small subunit ribosomal RNA", at positions 338 to 658 of the family's 1533-position model. The record is from RNAcentral.
CCUACGGGACGCAGCAGUGGGGAAUAUUGCACAAUGGGGGAAACCCUGAUCCAGCGACGCCGCGUGAGUGAAGAAGUAUCUCGGUAUGUAAAGCUCUAUCAGCAGGGAAGAAGAAAUGACGGUACCUGACUAAGAAGCCCCGGCUAACUACGUGCCAGCAGCCGCGGUAAUACGUAGGGGGCAAGCGUUAUCCGGAUUUACUAGGGGUAAAGGGAGCGUAGACGGCAGCGCAAGUCUGGAGUGAAAUGCCGGGGCCCAACCCCGGAACUGCUCUGGAAACUGUGAAGCUGGAGUGCCGGAGAGGU